UGUCGACCUACACUUCCCUUCCACAAAAAGCUGCAACAACCAAAGCCCCCUGCCCUGCUUCCCCUUCCCCACGAAAGCCCCCUGUCCUGCUUCCUUGGUAUUCGCUGCAACAACCAACAACCGACGCCCUCUGCCCUGCUUCCCUUGCAUGAUUCUGACUCCUAUGCUUAGAAAUGGAGAAACAAAGGAUUUGAUUGGAACCUUUGAGAGGCAUAAAGGUGUCGUUUGGAGUUGCUGUCAUUAG
Molecule: long non-coding RNA, 244 nt
Filed under: Helianthus annuus (common sunflower)
Lineage: Eukaryota; Viridiplantae; Streptophyta; Magnoliopsida; Asterales; Asteraceae
Description: sRNA HanXRQr2_Chr11g0490021
Source: RNAcentral